This 100-nucleotide non-coding RNA is filed under the name Neotoma lepida (desert woodrat). RNAcentral's name for it is "Eukaryotic large subunit ribosomal RNA". It matches the Rfam family "Eukaryotic large subunit ribosomal RNA", at positions 2665 to 2764 of the family's 3401-position model. Lineage: Eukaryota; Metazoa; Chordata; Mammalia; Rodentia; Cricetidae. The record is from Rfam by way of RNAcentral.
AAGGCAAGCUCCAGGAGGACAGAAACCUCCAGUGGAACAGAAGGGCAAAAGCUUGAUUGAUCUUGAUUUUCAGUAUGAAUACAGACCCUGAAAGCCGGGC